RNAcentral lists this ribosomal RNA (253 nucleotides) under uncultured bacterium. RNAcentral describes it as "partial 16S ribosomal RNA". It matches the Rfam family "Bacterial small subunit ribosomal RNA", at positions 524 to 776 of the family's 1533-position model. The record is from RNAcentral.
UACGUAUGGUGCAAGCGUUAUCCGGAUUUACUGGGUGUAAAGGGAGCGCAGGCGGCACGGCAAGCCUGAUGUGAAAGCCCGCGGCCCAACCGCGGGACUGCAUUGGGAACUACCGGGCUGGAGUGCCGGAGAAGUAGGCGGAAUUCCUAGUGUAGCGGUGAAAUGCGUAGAUAUUAGGAGGAACACCAGUGGCGAAGGCGGCCUACUGGACGGUGACUGACGCUGAGGCUCGAAAGCGUGGGGAGCAAACAGG